GACGAACGCUGGCGGCGUGCUUAACACAUGCAAGUCGAACGGAAAGGCCCUGCUUUUGUGGGGUGCUCGAGUGGCGAACGGGUGAGUAACACGUGAGUAACCUGCCCUUGACUUUGGGAUAACUUCAGGAAACUGGGGCUAAUACCGGAUAGGAGCUCCUGCUGCAUGGUGGGGGUUGGAAAGUUUCGGCGGUUGGGGAUGGACUCGCGGCUUAUCAGCUUGUUGGUGGGGUAGUGGCUUACCAAGGCUUUGACGGGUAGCCGGCCUGAGAGGGUGACCGGCCACAUUGGUCCUGAGAUACGGCCCAGACUCCUACGGGAGGCAGCAGUGGGAAAUAUUGCACAAUGGGCGGAAGCCUGAUGCAGCAACGCCGCGUGCGGGAUGACGGCCUUCGGGUUGUAAACCGCUUUCGCCUGUGACGAAGCGUGAGUGACGGUAAUGGGUAAAGAAGCACCGGCUAACUACGUG
This 468-nucleotide ribosomal RNA is filed under the name uncultured bacterium. RNAcentral's name for it is "partial 16S ribosomal RNA". It matches the Rfam family "Bacterial small subunit ribosomal RNA", at positions 28 to 507 of the family's 1533-position model. The record is from RNAcentral.